Molecule: ribosomal RNA, 253 nt
Filed under: uncultured bacterium
Lineage: Bacteria
Description: partial 16S ribosomal RNA
Rfam family: Bacterial small subunit ribosomal RNA
Source: RNAcentral
UACAGAGGGUGCGAGCGUUGUCCGGAAUCACUGGGCGUAAAGGGCGCGUAGGCGGUCAUGUAAGUCGGGGGUGAAAUGCUGCGGCUCAACCGCAGCGCUGCCUUCGAGACUGCAUGACUGGAGCACGGUAGAGGCGGAUGGAAUUCCCGGUGUAGCGGUGGAAUGCGUAGAGAUCGGGAAGAACACCAAUGGCGAAGGCAGUCCGCUGGGCCGUUGCUGACGCUGAGGCGCGACAGCGUGGGGAGCAAACAGG